CCUACGGGAGGCUGCAGUAGGGAAUCUUCCACAAUGGGCGAAAGCCUGAUGGAGCAACGCCGCGUGGGUGAAGAAGGUCUUCUGAUCGUAAAACCCUGUUGUUAGAGAAGCAAGUGCGUGAGAGUACCUGUUCACGUUUCGACGGUAUCUACCCAGAAAGCCACGGCUAACUACGUGCCAUCAGCCGCGGUAAUACGUAGGUGGCAAGCGUUAUCCGGAUUUAUUGGGCGUAAAGGGCACGCAGGCGGUCUUUUAAGUCUGAUGUGAAAGCCUUCGGCUUAACCGGAGUAGUGCAUUGGAAACUGGGAGACUUGAGUGCAGAAGAGGAGAGUGGAACUCCAUGUGUAGCGGUGAAAUGCGUAGAUAGAUGGAAGAACACCAGUGGCGAAAGCGGCUCUCUGGGCUGUAACUGACGCUGAGGUUCGAAAGCGUGGGUAGCAAACAGGAUUAGAUACCCUUGUAGUC
Molecule: ribosomal RNA, 465 nt
Filed under: uncultured bacterium
Lineage: Bacteria
Description: partial 16S ribosomal RNA
Rfam family: Bacterial small subunit ribosomal RNA
Source: RNAcentral